UUAAAAAUACCCAACUGCACGCAAAUAUUUUUGUUAAUUAAAGAUGAGUAUCUGCUCAAACACCUAUAGACACUCCAUGUGAGCUAGUGCACAGCAGACAUCAAAAAACCCACUGUGGUCACAUUACUUCUGUGCUUUUCAUUUCCCUUUUGAGACGGGGUCUCUUGUAGUUCUGGCUGGUCCCUGACCUUUGUUCUACUGAUCCUACUGUUUCUAGUUUUGGACUGCUGGGAUUACAGGUGCCUGUCACCCUGCCGGCCUUUGUGUACUGCUGGGAUUGGAACCCAGGACUCUGUGCAUGCUAGGCCCUGCUACUGCCUUUGACCGGAAUUCAGCUUCUUGGCCUUCUAAUGCGGAUUCAAGACUAGAGGCUCUUCAAGGGUCUUUUGGAUUUUUCAGUGCCAGUUUGGGACUGCUGAAGCAGCUAGCUUCGUGGACGGCGGAUCCAGGCUUCUCAGACUCUCCAGAGUACACGCAGCCACUGUUGGACUGCCCGGCCUGAUGGCACAAGCCAUCCUGGUGAUGUGGCUUUAUAAUAUCCGUUUAUUCUAUUGUCUAUGCUUCUGUAGAGGACUCUGAGUGAUGCAGCUAUCUGAAAAUGUGACUGUAACAAAGAGAUGGCAGGCGUGCUAUGUGGCAGAGGAGAGCAUAGCCUGGGGACAUGAGUGUGAGCAAGGGGCUCCACAUGGGUCCUUGGGAAAUUUUUCCUUUAGUAGGGUCAGGACAUUGUCCGGUCAGUGAGUAACUCUCAUGUAGGUUCACUCCGUUCCCUGGAGUCUGUGACUGUUUGAUGCUGUGUGAUUAUGCUCUCCCUUCCAAAGGACUGAAAAUUUCUGGCCUAUAAAUUUCUCCGUGUGUGGAA
Long non-coding RNA from Myodes glareolus (Bank vole), 862 nucleotides. RefSeq lists it as uncharacterized. NCBI's taxonomy places the organism in Eukaryota, Metazoa, Chordata, Mammalia, Rodentia, Cricetidae. The record is from RefSeq and is a predicted model, not a curated record.